AUUGAACGCUGGCGGCAGGCCUAACACAUGCAAGUCGAACGGUAACAGGAAGAAGCUUGCUUAUUUGCUGACGAAUGGCGGACGGGUGAGUAAUGUCUGGGAAACUGCCUGAUGGAGGGGGAUAACUACUGGAAACGGUAGCUAAUACCGCAUAACGUCGCAAGCCCAAAGAGGGGGACCUUCGGGCCUCUUGCCAUCCGAUGUGCCCAGAUGGGAUUAGCUAGUAGGUGGGGUAACGGCUCACCUAGGCGGCGAUCCCUAGCUGGUCUGAGAGGAUGACGAGCGACACUGGGACUGAGACACGAUCCAGAGUCCUACGGGAGGCAGAAGUGGGGAAUAUUGCACAAUGGGGGCAAGACUGAUGAAGCCGUGCAGGGUGUAUGAAGAAGGCCUUCGGGUUGUAAAGUACUUUCAGCGGGGAGGAAGGGAGUAAAGUUAAUACCUUUGCUCAUUGACGUUACCCGGAGAAGAAGCACCGGCUAACUCCGUG
Molecule: ribosomal RNA, 490 nt
Filed under: uncultured bacterium
Lineage: Bacteria
Description: partial 16S ribosomal RNA
Rfam family: Bacterial small subunit ribosomal RNA
Source: RNAcentral